AAAGCAGGGUGCGUUAGGGUUUGGCUGAAACAUCCUGUUCUUCAGAUCUUCUCCAAGGUCUUGCUGCUCAGUAACUGCUUGGGAUGGCUCUACAUCAGAGCAGAUGGGUUAUUCAAGGUGUAGUGAUGCUCAUACCCAGGAGGUGGGGGACCAGUGCCAGGGGAACCUGCACUUCUGAACAGCAGAAUUCCUUUGUUUGCUGCUCAUUGGUUCAAAUAUUGGAUCGUCCAAAUAAUUCAUUGCAGAAGGUGUUUUUUUUCACUCCUGCAACAUCCUGAGGAAAUGAGUUGCCUAGCUGAUGCACUGUGGGAUCACUUUCCUGUUACUGUGUUCAGACCAGGUAUCUGGACAUCCUUUGGUUUAGAUUUGAAGAAGCAGUGAAUAAUUAAUUGUUACCAGUUCUCUUCUUCCACUCAACCCUUAAUUUUAUAUUUAUAUCCUAUAGUCCCCCACUGUUAUUCCUUUGCCAAGUCAAGGUGAUCGUUAUUUAGCUGCCUUCUGUCUAGAAACAUAGCAAAGGAAGGUAGUGUAUUUUGGGGAAAAGUUUCAUUUGCAUAACCUAUACAUAGCAACAACAUCAGCCUUUUUUAAAAACCUGAAAUAGAGAGGAAUAUUGAGAAAGGCACUGACAGCAAGAGAAAUGCUUCAAUUGAGAGAUACAGAGGGUGAGAUUUAUCACAUCCAACAUGCAAUAUUCCUGUGCAGACAUCUCUAUCUCAGGCUGUCUCCCCGUGCCCCUGAUUUAGGGGCUAGCCAAGACAGGUGAAAGGGGGCAGGGUUGGUUUGACUUAUUUUUGGUGAGAUGAUUCCUGCCCUGCAGCCCUAAUGGAGGCUGAGGCAGAUGCAGGCACCUGCUUUUUGAUGUGAUGAUACUCAAAUAAGACUCAGGCUGUGAGCUGUAGCAGUAACUUGUAAGUAGCCAUGGCCAAUGAAUUAGUUUUGAUGCUCCCUCACUGUGCCAUAUCUGUUAUUAAUCCCUGAGUAAUCACUGAGAAUAGUGCCCUGGGCCAACCCUGCUUGGUUUCUGGACAUUUCUGGAAGUAUACAGGAUGCAGCGUGGUCACCUUCCGUUGUGUGCCUGGAAAUUUUUCUUCUUGGAUCUCAAUGGCAGAAAUUCGAUCAAGAAAUCUGAAAUGUGAUGUUUUUAGUUUUUUUUUUUUUCCUGCACAAUCAGGCUGAGUAGGAUUUAAAUUUUUUAUAAAUGCAAAGAUAUUUUUGAUCAGUUGACAUCUCAUUUAUACUAAUUGUCUUUGAAUAUAAUUAGCUUUCAUAGGGAUAAAUUUCCUCAUUUUUAGAUUGUAGAUGAAAUUACACUAUAUGUAUAUAAAGCGGGAGAUGAACUUUCUGGAGCAGUUGAUUCAAUAUAUCUUUACUGCAAAUAAUGCCCUUUAUAUUUCUGGGAGAACAAAGAAGAAAAUCAUCUGUAUCUCACCAGUUCUUUUGCUGCUCUCACAUGAGCAAACAAAAACAGCAGCAUUAGCAUGAAGCAGAUGCUAAAUACAUCAAAUACAUGCCAAAGGCCCAGAAAACGUUCUUACGGUAGCAAUGUGAAGUAUUUGCAGUGAUAAAACUAUAAAGGGUUAGAGCAUCCCCUUAAAAAAGGGAAGGUUCCACCUGGAUGUUAGAAGAGAUAUUGCUGCCAGGAACAGCCAACCCCUAAAUUCAGACACCUGCACAAAGAGUGGGACAGUACCAGGGCUGUCCCCAUGACUGGACAAUUACAGUGGUGCCAGGAGAUGCAAGCAAUGUAGAACCCACAGCAUCUCUCUCCAGAUCCUGCUCUGACCAAGGCAAGGCUUGUAAUGAGGACUUUGACCAAGCAAAAGGUUACAGAUGAUGGGAACCAAAAAUGUGGGAGAGCGUGGAGGAUUGGGAAAUAGUGGGUGCUGCCGUAUGGCUCACAUCAUUUCACUUUCCUCUGCUUUAUCUCAUGUGUUUCUGUGUGUCUACGCAAAUGCACAAGAAGAGAGGAACCAAAGGGCUCAUCUUCACCAGGAUGUAACCAACUUAUCUCUAGUCUCAGCACUACCAGCUCUCACCACAUAGGAGCACGAGUGGAGUCUCCUGUUAUUAUCUAUACCCAGAUCCUUCAUCUGCAGGGGUGGCAAAGCAACAUUUGUGAAAACCAUGGCUGCCUUUUAUGCUCUGUGGUCUUACAGCCUUAAUCCUGAAGGGUAAGAAGUUGGUUUUCAAGGGCAGCUUUCACCCCAAAGCACCUGACCAUCCCCUGCCACAAUCCCAGACUGUGGGUUGGAGCCAGGUGGCCACUGAAGUCCCUGUGGGAGAUUUGGGAUGGGGAGUGCAGAUGGCAGCUCUGGCUUGCCACUUCUGGCAGAUUUGAUAACAGUUUAAUCCUUGUGCAAUGCCUCUUCUCUGCAUCCAGGCAUUCAGUGAAUGUAAAGCAGAAAUAAAAGAGUUGCCUCAUUAAAAUCUGAUCACAGAAACGAAGAUAAUAGCCCUGUCUUUGUGAGGUGGAUACAAAGUCACGUGAGCCCCGGCAAGGAGGGGGAAAUGAUAGAUGGAGUUAAAUUUACCUCCUGUCCCUCAGACACCCCCCGCUCCUAUGCAGCUCCAUCGGCGGCUGCUGUCAGCACGUAAUGUCUCCGGCAGUAAUGAAUGACUGACAGCAUGGCAUGAAUCCCUGCUGGAGAGCUGCCACUCAGGGGCUCUCAGGAGGAAACGCGAGAGGAACCUGAUUGAAGAAAUAACCCCUGACGCUGGUCUCUGGUGAUUCACCUCCCCACCCUCAUCAGCAGAUCCAGACGCUCCUGCUGAGGGCUCGCGGCCUGGAGUCGUGUGGCCGGGAGCAUGUUUCUGCCUCUCCCUGCUCAGCGCAGACACCUCCACCCCUGUGGGCUGAGCCCUCUCCUAACUCCUGGCUGAAGGUUCAGUUCUUCUCCUGACAGGGCCUCUCCACGUGGGCAGUUGCUGACCAAGGUUUAAAACAGUGAGCUGGAAAGGAAAAACCUUUAUUUUUUUCCCAUUUUCAGAGCCCUGAGUUCACCGAUGCUGUGAAUGUUCUGGGUUUUCAGAAAGGAAGCAAAACCUGAGCGCUCAGGGGAUAAAUUCCUGGAAAAGUCAGGCAGCACUUAAUUUUCAGAUCUGAAGAAAGGGAAGGAACACAAUGGAAGCCUGGAUCUUAGAAAAACCUGUUCAAAGAGCCUCUAAAAAGGCCUACAGCCCCAAGAUUUAGCACCAGAAAAGAAUGGCUUUUAAACACACUGAACUCUAGAGACCUGCCCUGGGUAGUGUUGUUAGAAAAAAAUGGAAAGUCAGAGAAGAUCCUAACAGGAGGAGUCCAAAAGCUGCUGAGUUCAACUCUGAAGCCCUCCCCAAAGGGCUGCCCACAUUAAAUCUGUCUGACUUGGGCUUCAGCUGCAGCCCCGGCAGGCUCUGGAGCUCAAAGCAAAGGUCAGGCCCAGAGCACAGCCCCCAGCUGGUGCUGUGGGGUUUGACUCGAUGUGGGGCUGCAGUGGGUGCGGACCGAACCUCCCUGCUGUGUCUGAGACCCUCCAGGGGCUCCUUGCGCAGCUCCUCCUGCACUGCCACGUGUGCAAGGGGAGAAAGGACAGCUUCCUCCUUUCAUGGCUGGGGACAAGGAUGGGGGCACAAUGCCCAGGCUGAUGGAUUUGGGGGAUGUGAGGUGAUUGUCCACAAGGUGCUCCACAGACACUUUCUUGUCUUGCUACAAUGAGCAAGGGCUUUCUGACCACCCCCUUUACAGCCCUGUUUCAGAACUUAGAAGACCUCAGCACCCCAUAUCUAGGUAUGGAGGGUGCAGGCCUCUCAGGAGAGCAGGUGACCCAAAUUAGGCCUUUUCCCCCUGAACUCAAACAUUGCAGUGAUUUCCAGCUGGCUCUGAGUGAUCCACCAAAAUCCCACAGGUGGUUAGGGGACAGUUGGGUUCCUACCCUUGUUUCCUCUCUAAAUGAGCACCUUAAAUUACUUCUUAUAAUGUUAACACAGGACAGUCACCUCCAACAUUGACCAUUGCAGAGCCAGGAGUGAAGAAAAUCAUUUAAAA
This is a long non-coding RNA of Cygnus olor (mute swan), 4024 nucleotides long. RefSeq lists it as uncharacterized. The record is from RefSeq and is a predicted model, not a curated record. The transcript is spliced from 3 exons. Lineage: Eukaryota; Metazoa; Chordata; Aves; Anseriformes; Anatidae.